CCUACGGGAGGCAGCAGUGAGGAAUAUUGGUCAAUGGACGAGAGUCUGAACCAGCCAAGUAGCGUGAAGGAUGACUGCCCUAUGGGUUGUAAACUUCUUUUAUAUGGGAAUAAAAUGUUCCACGUGUGGGAUUUUGUAUGUACCAUAUGAAUAAGGAUCGGCUAACUCCGGGCCAGCAGCCGCGUUAAUACGGAGGAUCCGAGCGUUAUCCGGAUUUAGUGGGUUUAAAGGGAGCGUAGGGGGAUUGUUAAGUCAGUUGUGAAAGUUUGCGGCUCAACCGUAAAAUUGCAGUUGAAACUGGCAGUCUUGAGUACAGUAGAGGUGGGCGGAAUUCGUGGUGUAGCGGUGAAAUGCUUAGAUAUCACGAAGAACUCCGAUUGCGAAGGCAGCUCACUGGACUGCAACUGACACUGAGGCUCGAAAGUGUGGGUAUCAAACAGGAUUAGAUACCCUUGUAGUC
RNAcentral lists this ribosomal RNA (460 nucleotides) under uncultured bacterium. Its description in RNAcentral is "partial 16S ribosomal RNA". It matches the Rfam family "Bacterial small subunit ribosomal RNA", at positions 338 to 795 of the family's 1533-position model. The record is from RNAcentral.